CAUCUUGUGGUUGAUGCCACACUCAGGAAAGGAGCGGACGGAAACCCAGGCAAUGGCACAGAGGUCAACAAGUGUAUGAAUAAAGCACUUUUUCCUUCAAUACUGAAAGUUUGACCAAUCGAAUUGCACCUGGAACUCAACACUUGGCAUCUUGCCUUUAAAAUGAGAAAAUAUGAGAAAAAUGAUGAGUCAGCGUACAGGGGAGGCACAAUGGCUAACGGACUGGUGCAGAGCCAGCGUACAGAGGCAGCAUACAGAGCCAGCAUACAGAUUCAGCGUAUAGAGGAGGCGCAGCGGCUAAUGGACUGGUACAGAGCCAGCGUACAGAGUCAGCGUACAGAGGAGGCGCAAUGGCUAACAGACUGGUACAGAGCCAGCGUACAGAGGAGGUGUACAGAAGAGGCGCAGCGGCUAACAGACUGGUGCAGAGCCAGCGUACAGAGUCAGCGUACAGAGGAGAUGUACAGAAGAGGCGCAGCGGCUAACAGAUGGUGCGGAGCCAACAACCUGCCUCUGAAUGUGGACAGGACGAAAGAGAUGGUUGUUGACUUCAAGAGAGCAUGGAGUGAGCACUGUCCGCUGGACAUUGACUGCUUCCCAUGGAGAUCGUGAAGAGCACUAAAUUUCUUGGCAUACACCUGGCAGAGAAUCUCACCUGGACCCUCCCACAACACGAGCUCCACAGCCAAGAAAGCCCAGCAGCAUCUCUACUUUCUGCAUUGUCUGAGAAAAGUCCAUGUUCCUCCUGCACCCCCCCACACACACACACUCACACACACUCACACACCUCCAUU
Non-coding RNA from Chiloscyllium plagiosum (whitespotted bambooshark), 794 nucleotides. The record is from RefSeq and is a predicted model, not a curated record. Lineage: Eukaryota; Metazoa; Chordata; Chondrichthyes; Orectolobiformes; Hemiscylliidae.